AUCCCUUUGUUUUCCCAGGUGGUGUGGAUGAUACUGGCUGCACUGUUGGAGCUUGGACUCGGAGAGGAACACGUGAGCACAAUCGUAUGUUGCAUCAGCAGUAGUCAGCAUUGUGGAGAAGUAGAGUGUAAACCUUUGGAGGAACCUGUCACGGAAAGAGCUCCUUCUGGAACUGUUCAGCACUCGCUGAAACACAGUGUACAACAUGGGACUUGACGACCAGAGCUGCUUUCGGCAAGAGGUGUUGUAGCUGGCCUAAGAGAGCAGAUGGAAGCGUCUGCCUCGAGGGCAGGUGAGGAGGCCGAGGUGUCUCGCACAGGCUGAGUGGGGCCAAGCUGCACACUGAAGAGCAGCACGAGAAGGGCGG
Non-coding RNA from Anas platyrhynchos (mallard), 367 nucleotides. Lineage: Eukaryota; Metazoa; Chordata; Aves; Anseriformes; Anatidae. The record is from RefSeq and is a predicted model, not a curated record.